GGCUAACGCUGGCGGCGUGUCUUAGCCAUGCAAGUCGAGCGGACUUAUGGGGUAACUUAUAAGUCAGCGGCGGACGGCGGAGUAACACGUAGCUAACCUACCCUCUGGACGGGGAUAACCUACCGAAAGGUGGGCUAAUACCCGAUGUAGUCAUCCUGUAUAGGGGUGAUGAAAGGUGGGCUUCUGUUUACAAGCUCAUGCUGGAGGAGGGGGCUGCGGCCUAUCAGGUAGUUGGUAGGGUAAUAGCCUACCAAGCCGAUGACGGGUAGCCGGCCUGAGAGGGUGACCGGCCCGAGGGGCACUGAGAUACGGGUCCCACUCCUACGGGAGGCAGCAGGCUAGAAAUUUGGGCAAUGGGGGAAACCCUGACCCAGUGACGCCGCGUGCAGGAAGGAGCCCUUCGGGGUGUAAACUGCUGUCGUGUAGGGAGAAGGGUACUAAGGUGAACAAUCUUAGUACUUGACGGUACUACAGGAGGAAGCCCAGGCUAACCUCGUGCCAGCAGCCGCGGUAAUAAGCGUACU
This 524-nucleotide ribosomal RNA is filed under the name uncultured bacterium. RNAcentral describes it as "bacterial SSU rRNA". It matches the Rfam family "Bacterial small subunit ribosomal RNA", at positions 28 to 531 of the family's 1533-position model. The record is from RNAcentral.